AGGGGCUUAGGAUAAUUUAAACCGAGAGCCUUCAAAGCCCUAAAUAAGAGCUCCACCUCUUAGCCCCUG
Molecule: transfer RNA, 69 nt
Filed under: Lophosaurus spinipes (Southern forest dragon)
Lineage: Eukaryota; Metazoa; Chordata; Lepidosauria; Squamata; Agamidae
Description: tRNA-Trp
Rfam family: tRNA
About the family: Transfer RNA (tRNA) molecules are approximately 80 nucleotides in length. Their secondary structure includes four short double-helical elements and three loops (D, anti-codon, and T loops).
Source: RNAcentral